AUUGAACGCUGGCGGCAGGCCUAACACAUGCAAGUCGAGCGGAUGAAGGGAGCUUGCGCCUGGAUUCAGCGGCGGACGGGUGAGUAAUGCCUAGGAAUCUGCCUUGUAGUUGGGGAUAACGUCCGGAAACGGGCGCUAAUACCGCAUACGUCCUGAUGGAGAAAGGGGGGGAUCUUCGGACCUCACGCUAUCAGAUGAGCCUAGGUCGGAUUAGCUAGUUGGUGGGGUAACGGCCUACCAAGGCGACGUUCCGUAACUGGGCUGAGAGGAUGAUCAGUCACACUGGAACUGAGACACGGUCCAGACUCCUACGGGAGGCAGCAGUGGGGAAUAUUGGACAAUGGGCGAAAGCCUGAUCCAGCCAUGCCGCGUGUGUGAAGAAGGUCUUCGGAUUGUAAAGCACUUUAAGUUGGGAGGAAGGAAAGUAAGUUAAUACCUGGCUGUUUUGACGUUACCAACAGAAUAAGCACCGGCUAACUUCGUG
This 484-nucleotide ribosomal RNA is filed under the name uncultured bacterium. RNAcentral's name for it is "partial 16S ribosomal RNA". It matches the Rfam family "Bacterial small subunit ribosomal RNA", at positions 30 to 507 of the family's 1533-position model. The record is from RNAcentral.